Molecule: long non-coding RNA, 565 nt
Filed under: Junco hyemalis (dark-eyed junco)
Lineage: Eukaryota; Metazoa; Chordata; Aves; Passeriformes; Passerellidae
Description: lncRNA (ENSJHYG00000009314.1)
Source: RNAcentral
UUGUCAUGUAAGAAAAAUCUAACCCUUACAAAAACUCAUUUCAAAAUGAGUAACUGCAACAUUUUUUCAGUCAUUGUGUGAGAAGGCUGUUGCAGGACUGCUGGGACUUCCCUUCUCCCCAGAAUGAGAUUCUGGUGUAAUUAAUGGGGCAUUUGGACUCUGAUAGAAUUUGCUUCCAUCCAGUUUCUCAUGGAAACCCUCCUGAUGCCUCUCAGAUCUUCAUGAAGACCCAGCCUUGCUGCAGGGAUGGUCCCGGCUGAAGCCAGGCAGGGAGGACGGCAGCGCAUGGGAAAUGCAGUGGCACAGGCCCUGAUGGAUGUCAUGAGCUCAGGGUUUGUUUAAGGUGUUCACAUGUCAGCAGCUCGUGGAUGCUACAGGAGACCAGGAAUGGCCGGAAUCUCUAUGCUGGCAGGAUUCAGAGAGGCACAAAGGAGGGAAAAACAAGUUUCAGCCAGAAGAGAGAGAGAGAGAGAGAAAAAAAAGGAUGCUGUUAGCAUUCCCUGUAUUUGAGGGGUAAAAACAUUUUGCUGUCAACUCUGUUUUAAAGGGUAAGUGCUAAAAGCAG